CGGGUGAGUAACACGUGAGUAAUCCACCCUUGGUACCGGGAUAGCUCGGGGAAACUCGAAUUAAUACCGGAUAGCCCAUUAGCCUUUCGAGGCGAAUGGAAAAGGUAGCUUCGGCCUCCGACCAAGGACGAGCUCGCGGCGGAUUAGCUUGUUGGCGGGGUAAUGGCCCACCAAGGCGACGAUCCGUAGCUGGUCUGAGAGGACGAUCAGCCACACUGGGACUGAGACACGGCCCAG
Molecule: ribosomal RNA, 237 nt
Filed under: uncultured bacterium
Lineage: Bacteria
Description: partial 16S ribosomal RNA
Rfam family: Bacterial small subunit ribosomal RNA
Source: RNAcentral